GUCCAUGCCGUAAACGAUGUCUACUAGCCGUUGGGGCCUUUGAGGCCUUAGUGGCGCAGCUAACGCGAUAAGUAGACCGCCUGGGGAGUACGGUCGCAAGACUAAAACUCAAAUGAAUUGACGGGGCCCGCACAAGCGGUGGAGCAUGUGGUUUAAUUCGAUGCAACGCGAAGAACCUUACCUGGCCUUGACAUAGUAAGAACUUUCCAGAGAUGGAUUGGUGCCUUCGGGAACUUACAUACAGGUGCUGCAUGGCUGUCGU
Molecule: ribosomal RNA, 262 nt
Filed under: uncultured bacterium
Lineage: Bacteria
Description: partial 16S ribosomal RNA
Rfam family: Bacterial small subunit ribosomal RNA
Source: RNAcentral